GGAGAUAGCUCAGUGGUGGAGUGCAUGCCUGCUUAGUAUGUAUGAGGUCCUGGGUUCAGUCCCCAGUACCUCCA
RNAcentral lists this transfer RNA (74 nucleotides) under Camelus bactrianus (Bactrian camel). It matches the Rfam family "tRNA". Rfam says of the family: Transfer RNA (tRNA) molecules are approximately 80 nucleotides in length. Their secondary structure includes four short double-helical elements and three loops (D, anti-codon, and T loops). Further hydrogen bonds mediate the characteristic L-shaped molecular structure. tRNAs have two regions of fundamental functional importance: the anti-codon, which is responsible for specific mRNA codon recognition, and the 3' end, to which the tRNAs corresponding amino acid is attached (by aminoacyl-tRNA synthetases). tRNAs cope with the degeneracy of the genetic code in two manners: having more than one tRNA (with a specific anti-codon) for a particular amino acid; and 'wobble' base-pairing, i.e. permitting non-standard base-pairing at the 3rd anti-codon position. RNAcentral also lists the same sequence under 2 other names. Lineage: Eukaryota; Metazoa; Chordata; Mammalia; Artiodactyla; Camelidae. The record is from Rfam by way of RNAcentral.